UUUAUAAAAAAAAAAAACAGCCUCUUGUUCACCAAACGUUUGUGUCUGAAUCAAAGAGCAUGAUGAUGGGGCUGAAGGUCACUCAGUACUACAUCUUUGUUAUAAUGCUAACCAAAGGUGUCAGCAGUGAUGAGAUCAGACUGGACCAGUCUCCUGCUGUGGUAAAGAGACCUGGAGAAACUGUGAAGAUCUCCUGUAAGAUAAACGGAUAUUCAAUGACGAGCUACAACAUACACUGGAUCAGACAGAAACCAGGGAAAGCUCUGGAAUGGCUUGGCUGGAUGAAUACAGGCAAUAAUGAUGCAACAUAUGCAGAGUCUGUGAAGAACCAGCUCACCUUUACAGAAGACGUCUCAGCAAGCACACAGUACUUAGAGGCCAAGAGUCUGAGGACAGAGGACACUGCGGUUUAUUACUGCGCCCGACAAGCCACAGUGACUGGAGCUGAGGAAGCAGCUGUACAAAAACCAGACACACAUUUUAACACAGAGUUUAUUUUGAACAAGUUACAUGUCCUGUUAUCAUUUAUCUGUUAUAUCCUAUGUUUAUUAAAGAAUUCAUUAACAUUUUGUCUUAAACACUGUAAUGUUUUAUUGAAUUGUUAAAAAUGUUUCUGCAGCAUUCAGACUCUCUAAAGACGAAGUGACACCAUUUCGGUUCCCCAUAAUAUCUGUACCUCUGUACU
This is a non-coding RNA of Tachysurus fulvidraco (yellow catfish), 685 nucleotides long. The record is from the annotation of a RefSeq genome assembly. NCBI's taxonomy places the organism in Eukaryota, Metazoa, Chordata, Actinopteri, Siluriformes, Bagridae.